GCAAGUGUUGAGUGUAGCGGGGUGCGUUAAAGCAUUGCUGCAAACAUGUCAACGUUUAAGAGCUGUUGUGCAAUUGAUGGCAUAAACAGAUUCAGAAACAGUAUUUAGAUGUUCCUACAUAUAACCUCACAGGGCAGACAGAGUGGUUUUGGUGUCUCUUGCUGUUUGUCUUGUUCAAGUUAGUUGUUUGCCGUAGCGGGUCUGUUUUCACCACUCAGUAGUGUGGGAAUCAUGUAAAUAAAUCCUAACCCUCUACGGUAAGUGAGCUUAAAUAUAACAUUUGUUCCGAUCCCCAGCUUUACUAAUCUAAAGUAGACUAUGCUGAGUUUAAAUCCUCUGAAAGAAAAGUUAUUUAGAAAUCCUGCACUUUAGUUUUUUGAGUAUUUUAAAGACCUUUUUGAUGCCUUAAAUUUAAGGGGGAUACCCAGCCCUAAUGGCGAAGAUGGUGAAGUUGGUUACACUGUACAUAGCAUUACCAUGGCAACGGACGCACUGACACUGACUGUGUCACCAUGGCAAAUGAUUUUGCGUCUUUAAGGUAACUAAUUUCCCAGCAGGAGUGCUUUGAUUGUCCGUGAACAAUUUAUGGUGCUAUGCUCCCAUUGCUGCGGCCUGCAGGCCCCUCUGUUGUAGAAAUCCCAUCGCGUUUUACAGAAAAUACUUCAGUUACUUAGUUUAGUGUUCAACUAAAGUCUUCUGUAGUACAUGUCCUUCAAAACCUCAGAGAGGUACGAAGGAGUGAGUGAGAUUGUUUGAAGUGUAGCACAGUCAGGUGUCAGAAAGAAGAGGUUUCUCCAUGGUUUAGUGUGUGAAUGUGGUGAGUGAGUGUGUGUACGUUGUAUAGAAAGGUUCUUCCGGACAUGAAACAGUUUUUUUGGGACCAGGUGGAGUCGUAGUGAACAGCAACCGUAGGAAUCAGCUGUUUGCACACAGAGUUCUCGAGUCUACUUUCGCUGCUAGUUUGUGUAAUUUAUCAAGCAUUUUUGAGAAAUAUUUAUUUUUAUAAGCCUAAUACAAAAGUUGAUAUUUUACAAAGUGACUUGACCAAAAGACAGUAAACAAAAACACUGGCACUUGAAUGUUGAAUGUCAUUGGUAUGAGUGAAAAUUUCUAUUUUUCUGGGGUAGUGUGAGCUUUUUAAUGUUAAAGAUGCAACGUGUAGGGAUUUCUCUUUAAAUAUGUCACCGUAACAACUUGUGAUUAUGUGCAAAAUGUCACUAAUGCCAAAACUGAUUCAAAUCAUCCCAGAAAUCCCAGUACACCAGUUCUCUGUCUAGGGACGAUACAAAGCACCCCACGGUGCUUGCACAUCUUGUCUUGUUUAACCAGACUAUUUUAGCUGAACAAGUCCCCGCCUCAGAACGGUGCAGUUGUGCACUUUACAUUUUCUGAAGUUUAACCUGGCUUUUGUCUAAGCAAAAUUGGACCUUGAACACCUCUCUGAAAGACAGGAGUUAUCUUAAGAGGUGGCAGUCCCUUGUUCUUACCGUUCUUGUUAUAUAGAAGAAAUAUUUAGUUUAAAACCCUAAUUUGCACUCGCCACUUGCCAUAACAGGGCUCUUUCCUUCUUGGUCAAAUGCAUAAAUGCAUAAAGAUGUGCACGUGGAGUCACACGCGGCCACAGAGUGACGCACUGACAGUUUUAUUACAGUUAAUGCGACUGUGACAUAUUCAAAGAAACAUCCUACAUAGGUUUCCUUUUAAAGUCACAUUGGACUCAGUAUCAGAUCCAUAAACCCGUUUGUGCGACAGGUUCCAUUGCCAAUACUGAAAAUCAACCAUAAGCAGCCAUUUGAAUUGGCAAACAAAAUUUGAGACAAUACCACCAUUAUAUGCCAAGGUUUGGAUUAAAAUAAAAAAAUUAAACGUUACAAUCAAAAGACCAUUUUGUAAAAAAAAAAGAAAUUUAAAAAAACAAUAAAAAAACAUGCAGUACAAAAAACAAGUGUCCAGAUUCUCUCCAAGUCGGAUGUUAUUUUGUUUGGAUUUUUUUUUUUUUUUUUCAUUUGAGUCUUUACACUUUUCCUUCCCGUUAAUACCCUUGUUGUGAAUGUCUGGCAAGUGGUGAUCUUUAAAGUCUUCAUAACACAGAAUUAACUGUGGUUCUAUUGCUAUGUUGUUGUGAUUUGCAUCUUUGCAGGUGCCUGUGUGUUGAGUGAUAAUGGUCAUACAUAUAGGGGAGCGUCUGGCCAAUCAGAAAUGGGGGGGGGGGGAUGCCCUGAUGACAAAUACAUCCAGGUGUUUUUUUUGUUUUGUUUUUGCUUAACUUGCUGCUGAGCCAAAUGAGUCUUCUGCCAUCGUUUAGCUGCGGACAUUCUGCAGUUAUACAGAAACAAAUUUGUCCAUCAACAGUAGCCUUAAUGGACCAGAAUGCAAUGCGGCCCCAGCAAAGCCACUCUCAGUGACAUUUCAAAGAUAUGGUAGUACUAGUACAAGUAGGUGAACGAUCACGUCUUGGGUGCCAUGAUCUUAAUUCAUGGAAACAAAAUGGGGACACCAAAUAAAAUGCAACACUGCAGCUUUAUUUUACUUUAUAUUUUAUAAACUUAAAGGGUUGUUACAAAAAAAAGUGUUGUCAGAUUUAGAAUUGAUUGCUGUUUAGUGACUUGAAUUGAAGUAUGAUAAAGCCCAGUGUUGUAGCCAUUGCUUACUGGCCAGACCCCUCAAUGUGAACACACUGCACCUCCAGCCUGGUAGUUAGUAUUUGCUUUAUGUAUUAGUUUAGCAGUUGUGCACGAAGAGGAGCACUGCACGAAGA
This is a long non-coding RNA of Etheostoma cragini (Arkansas darter), 2758 nucleotides long. RefSeq lists it as uncharacterized. NCBI's taxonomy places the organism in Eukaryota, Metazoa, Chordata, Actinopteri, Perciformes, Percidae. The transcript has 2 exons. The record is from RefSeq and is a predicted model, not a curated record.